GCGGGAUUGGUAUAGCGGCCGUGCCCCAGCUUCCCAAGCUGGUGACAGGGGUUCAACUCCCCUAUCCCGCU
This 71-nucleotide transfer RNA is filed under the name Gemmata sp. RNAcentral's name for it is "tRNA-Gly". It matches the Rfam family "tRNA". From Rfam's summary of the family: Transfer RNA (tRNA) molecules are approximately 80 nucleotides in length. RNAcentral also lists the same sequence under 4 other names. The record is from RNAcentral. Lineage: Bacteria; Pseudomonadati; Planctomycetota; Planctomycetia; Gemmatales; Gemmataceae.